Camellia sinensis is the source of this 1434-nucleotide non-coding RNA. NCBI's taxonomy places the organism in Eukaryota, Viridiplantae, Streptophyta, Magnoliopsida, Ericales, Theaceae. The record is from RefSeq and is a predicted model, not a curated record.
CGCAACCAAAAAAAAUUAGUCGCCAAAUUAGUACUUUUAGCGACUAAUAUUUUAGUCGCCGUUGAUUGAAAUUUGGCGACUAAAAAAAUUUGUCGGCGAAAGAACCUGUUUUUGCGACUAAUUUGAUCUUUUAGUCGCCAAAAGUUUGGGGAGAAAUUUGAAACGUGGGGCGGGAAUUGAAUUUCAGAAAAAAAAAAAAAUUAAAGCCCUGAUCUUCUUCGUCUCUAUCUAAAAAAAGCCCUAAUCUGUGUCUCUCUAUGUUGGCCCGCCCCUCCCUCUUUCUGUGUUCUCUCUCUCAAUCGGUGCCCACUCUCUCUAGCUCACCGAAGUCCCUCACCACCAUUGCUCACGUCGGUCGCACGUCGCCACCGCUGCAAAUCGCCAUCGCCAAUAAUUUUCUACUUCACACUGUUGAUGCAUCAAUCGAACCCAGAUUAGGAACCCAGAUUGGAUGUCUCUCUCUCUUUCCUUUCUCUUCAUCGGCAUCAAUUUUCUUCCUAUGAACGAAGAUCAAUCGAAAACGACGACAUCGAUCGCCUCCUUCUCGUCCAUUCCGAUCUCUCCUCUCUCAGUCACCAGAUUUUACGUGAUCAGAAGGAAAUUGUUUUCACCGAGUUCGACGUCUUUUUCGUGAUACAGAUGAUCAAUUGCUUCUCUUUCAACCUCUUGGCCUCUAACCUAGGUAAUAAAUUCCCACCUGAACAAUUUGAUCUCUUGUUCUUGAACUUCACAACGAUUUCAAUUGGUUUAGGGCUUCACAUGUUUAUUAAAUCAAUAUUAGUGUUGUUGGAGAUAUGGGUUUUAUUAGAUUCGUAUCAAUUUUGAUUGGAUUCGAUGCUAAAUUGAGGUUUGAUUGAGUUGUCAAGCUAUUACAAUUCAAGUAUUAAUGCACCAAACCAAUUGAUGGUUUGAAAACACCUAUAUGGUUCCUGGAAUUGUAUAAUGCAUACAUACCAAUGAAAUUUUUGUAAGAAGUUUAUGCAUUGGUUCUAGAUGUGUUGAAAGGGUACAGUAUAAUGGUUCAUGAUUACGAAUGGGUGUGACUCUCUUUUUUAUUUUAUUUCAAUAUCUGCAUACCAUUUGGAGUUUCAUAAUUCUCUGCAGAUGUACUGCCUGUCUGCCUAAAGUACUGAACUUUUAUUCUUAUGUGUAUUGUAGGGGCUUUUUGGUAGAUAAAAAGAGGGGGUUUAAUUGUUAGAGUCGAAGCAAGAGGAGGAGACGAGAUCAUGAAUACUGGGUUUUUGGAGGGAUUCUAUCUAGGGUUUCGAGUGCGAUGGCAUUGGAUGCGCCCUACCUGUUGAAGCUCCUCCUAAGGUUAGUCCUCCCGUCGCUACCACACCUCUGGUCUCGUCCUCUCUCUCUCUCUCUCUCUCUCUCUCUCUAUUGCUCCAUCAGAUCUGGUCUCAAACACAUGAUUUACUAUCUCCUAGCUCU